UUUCACACUGCACAGCAUUAGAAGGGAGUGCCUCAUGCUGGCUAUAAGCCCCUGAACCUUAGCCUGAACACCAGCAAAAUCUGGACAAGGGGCAGCUGUAUCACUACAGUGCUGAUGCACACUUCAAGAGGCAGCAAAACAAACCAAAAAAGAAAAAAUCCAAGCCUGUGGAAAAGCAAAAGUCACUCGUUAAGAGCACAACUUCUACUCAUUAAGAAAGCUGCAGUACACAGUAACUCCGCAGUGGAGAUUUGGUCCUCAGCCUAAGAAGUUUAAUGAUGAAUGACAGAAGACAAGUUGUAUGGGUAGUACUUCAAAAGCCUCUGAGUGAAACAACGUAACAGUGGGCACAUGUAAUUAAACAAGCUGACUAUGGAGGCUACAAAUGGACUGAGUGCCAGGUUGAUCUGCCACCUGAGAGAUGUGCCACUGGUUGUGCCAAGUGUCAGCUACCAAUGCCUUUACUGCUGCAGCAUUUGUUUCCACUUGCAUUAUUGAAAAUCUGUGUAAAGGUGACCCAAACUCACCCUGCCAGCCUCCGCAUGGACA
This is a long non-coding RNA of Vidua chalybeata, 549 nucleotides long. RefSeq lists it as uncharacterized. The transcript is spliced from 4 exons. The record is from RefSeq and is a predicted model, not a curated record. Lineage: Eukaryota; Metazoa; Chordata; Aves; Passeriformes; Viduidae.